CUCGGCCUGUACAGCUGCCUGCACGGAUGCAG
This 32-nucleotide non-coding RNA is filed under the name Syntrophotalea carbinolica DSM 2380. Lineage: Bacteria; Pseudomonadati; Thermodesulfobacteriota; Desulfuromonadia; Desulfuromonadales; Syntrophotaleaceae. The record is from RNAcentral.